RNAcentral lists this transfer RNA (68 nucleotides) under Cleridae sp. 3 KM-2017. RNAcentral describes it as "tRNA-Asn". The record is from RNAcentral. Lineage: Eukaryota; Metazoa; Arthropoda; Insecta; Coleoptera; Cleridae.
UUAAUCGAAACCAAAAUAGAGGUAUAUCACUGUUAAUGAUAAAAUUGAAUAAAAAAAUUCCGAUUAAA